Molecule: RNA transcript, 2751 nt
Organism: Cornus florida
Lineage: Eukaryota; Viridiplantae; Streptophyta; Magnoliopsida; Cornales; Cornaceae
Gene name: protein MICRORCHIDIA 2-like
Exons: 19
Source: RefSeq, a predicted model, not a curated record
GUGGUGUUGAAUGACGGCUAUAGUUAUAGGUGAUGAAGGAAGGGCUGAGGUUAUAGUUAUUGGUGAUGAAGGGUUGUGAGGUUGGGUUUUGUUCAGUUCAUCUCCGGUGAACACUAUUGAAAACCGAAUUGACUCCGGUGAAGUGAACCAGAGAGAAAAUAAAAAAUAUAUAUAGAGAAAAAUAAAAAUAAAAAUAAAUAAAAGGACAUUUUUGGAAGGUAAAAGUGCAAAAUGGACAUAUUGUAAUUCUUUUAUGUUUGAGGGGAUGUUUUUGCCCAAUUACUGAAUUAUAAGGGUGUUUAUAGCACAAGUGGCACUAAAUCCUAAUAAAAAAUUCUUACCUAGACUCCGAAUGCUUAUUUUCUCGGAAACCAAACAGGGUCAUUCAUUCUCUUUCUUCGCAUUCGGCUUCAAGCGCGACUAUUGAUGCUCCGGAAAAUCUAUUCCCGAGUUAGCUACAGAAGAAAAUAGUUUAGAAGAAAGAAGGGCAGAAGAAAAUAGUUUCGAAGAUGGGUUUUUCGUGAUGGAAUCGCAAUCCACUGAAUCUUGAAAUAGAAAAAAACCCUAACCUUUCGUAUAUACCUAAUUCCAUUCAAGAAAAAAAAAAAAAAAAUCCUAAUUCCGGUGUUUACUGUUUCAGUUCUUUAUAAAAUGUCACUUAAACAAGAAAAAGAACCGAUCAAUGUCGUCUACAUUGACAGUAGCGACGACGACGACGAAGACGGCGUCGGAGUAGAAAGAAGAAAUAGCACAUCAUCAAACGAGCCAUCUAAGCAAAGCAGACCAGAGGUUCGCAGCACUGUAACAAACCCUCCAUCCGUAUCUGGCUAUAAGACUCUCGAGUCUCGAAGUUUCUGGAAAGCAGGGGGCUAUGAAAUUGGUCCCACUAAAUGGGCUCCCAAAUCAGGUGAGUUGGAACAUGCCCGUGUUCAUCCAAAGUUUUUGCAUUCCAAUGCAACUUCUCAUAAAUGGGCUUUCGGAGCAAUUGCUGAGCUCUUGGAUAAUGCCAUUGAUGAGAUUUGCAAUGGCGCAACUUUUGUGAAGGUUGAUAGAAUUUAUAAUGCAAGGGAUAACUCUCCUGCUUUACUUUUCCUAGACGAUGGGGGCGGUAUGGAUCCAGAAGGCAUUCGAAAAUGCAUGAGCUUGGGUUACUCAUCUAAGAAGUCCAACACAACAAUCGGACAAUAUGGUAAUGGAUUCAAGACAAGUACCAUGCGACUUGGUGCUGAUGUAAUCGUUUUCAGUCGUGCAUCUCAUUCAAGCCGAGCGACUCAAAGCAUUGGUCUUUUAUCCUAUACCUUUUUGCGUCGAACAGGCCAGGAUGAUGUGAUUGUUCCAAUGGUUGAUUUUGAUAUCUCUGACCAUUGGGCAGAACCAAUAAUUUAUAGUUCUCAGGAUGAUUGGUUUGCUAAUUUGAAAACCAUCCUUGAAUGGUCUCCCUUUGCAUCAAAAGAUGAGCUUCUGUCACAGUUUGAGGAUAUUGGUUCACAUGGAACAAAAAUAAUUGUAUACAAUCUAUGGCUGAAUGAUGAAGGCAUUUUCGAGUUGAAUUUCGAUGAUGAUGAAGAGGAUAUAAAGUUGAGAGAUGAAAGUAAUUGUGGUUCGUCCAGAGGGAAGAAGAAACUACUUGAAUUGCAGCAAUCUCACGUUUCCUACCGCCUCCGCUUUUCAUUAAGGGCAUAUGCUUCCAUUUUAUACCUCAGAAAAUUUAAAAAUUUCGAGAUUAUAUUGAGGGGGAAACCUGUUGAGCAGUUAAAUAUUGCAAAUGAGUUGAAAUACCCGAAUGUAAUCACGUACAGGCCACAGCUUGGGAUAGCAUCAAAAGAGGAGGUUUCUGUGGAAACAACUAUUGGAUUCAUUAAAGAAGCACCUGGUCUUGGAAUUUCUGGAUAUAACGUGUACCAUAAAAACCGCCUCAUCAGACCCUUCUGGAAAGUCACUAGCGACGGUUCUUCCAAGGGGAGCGGUGUUGUCGGAGUUCUUGAAGCAAAUUUCAUAGAACCAGCACAUGACAAGCAGGACUUUGAGAGAUCAUCUUUGUUCAUCCGGCUGGAAACAAAGCUGAAACAAAUGAUAAUGGGUUACUGGAAUGACCACUGCCACUUAAUAGGAUACCAGCGUCCAGGUACCAGCAAAAUACAAAAGGAAUGUGCUGUUCAACCUCCUGUUGAACUUGAUACAAAUGUACAGCAGUUUCCUAUUGGUCAAGCCAAAAAAAAUAAUGACCACGAGCAACCUAUCAUUGGUCUUGCUGCUAAUCUGGGACAAAAUCCAAGUGAUGCACCACCUGGAAUCCACCGCAGACCUAAUUUCUGUGAUGAUUCACCCCUUGUUCAGCCUGUCAUUGGGAUUGAAUCUGGGUCUGUUCGAGAAAUGGCACCUGUGGAUGGUUCAGGGUUCACAUCAAUUGGUCAGAUAUGUGACGAGAACAUCGAACUAUUCAUCAGUAGUGUAUUUCGAGAAUACCAAUGUAAGUGCAGUGUGUGUGAGUUGGGUGUAUUACGCAACAAAAGGAAGAAAAAGAAAAAAUAUAGCAUGGCUAAAUCAAAUGGCUGAAGAUUAUUGCUGCCUGAAGUUGUUCCUUAUUAGGAGUGAGUCACCUAGAUCCGAUUUAUCAUAGGUGCGAGGAACACAUUAAAAAAGAGAACGUGUUAAAACAGACGAUUGAAGAAUUAGAGAAUGAGUUGGAGGAAAUCAAAAGGAAGUGUUCUCAACUUUCGUCACACCUGGAAAGUAAGAGAAAGCAAAAGA